GACGAACGCUGGCGGCGUGCCUAAUACAUGCAAGUAGAACGCUGAAGGAGGAGCUUGCUUCUCCGGAUGAGUUGCGAACGGGUGAGUAACGCGUAGGUAACCUGCCUGGUAGCGGGGGAUAACUAUUGGAAACGAUAGCUAAUACCGCAUAAGAGUAGAUGUCGCAUGACAUUUGCUUAAAAGGUGCAACUGCACCACUACCAGAUGGACCUGCGUUGUAUUAGCUAGUUGGUGAGGUAACGGCUCACCAAGGCAACGAUACAUAGCCGACCUGAGAGGGUGAUCGGCCACACUGGGACUGAGACACGGCCCAGACUCCUACGGGAGGCAGCAGUAGGGAAUCUUCGGCAAUGGACGGAAGUCUGACCGAGCAACGCCGCGUGAGUGAAGAAGGUUUUCGGAUCGUAAAGCUCUGUUGUAAGAGAAGAACGAGUGUGAGAGUGGAAAGUUCACACUGUGACGGUAUCUUACCAGAAAGGGACGGAUAACUACGUG
Molecule: ribosomal RNA, 495 nt
Filed under: uncultured bacterium
Lineage: Bacteria
Description: partial 16S ribosomal RNA
Rfam family: Bacterial small subunit ribosomal RNA
Source: RNAcentral